GAAGUGCGACAAGUGUCAUGACUUGCAGAUUCCCGAGAGCUGACAAAUCUCUGAAUGCAAAUGGCGGUCGUCACAACGGCCAUGUUUUGCAGAGUGUAGUUGUUCAUACUUUUCAUCCAUCAAUCAUCAUUCUCUCUCUUCAAUGAUGGUUCGAUUGGGAUCUGCACUUGCGAUUUCAGUCUUGAAUCCACGCGAGUGUGAAACAAUGGAGUAUACACCCCAUCGAUCGAAUUCUGGAAAGGAAUAGACGCUGGGGGAUACAACUUCGGACCAUAUCCGUUGUGAGAUAUGAGAAGAGGAUUGAAGUAUACACACGAAAACGAAUUCUAUACAGCCACCUCUGCGAAGCAGGAGAACCCGCUGAACUUAA
Molecule: unclassified non-coding RNA, 370 nt
Filed under: uncultured fungus
Lineage: Eukaryota; Fungi
Description: sequence contains ITS1
Rfam family: 5.8S ribosomal RNA (bases 1-99)
Source: RNAcentral